Porphyromonadaceae bacterium CG2_30_38_12 is the source of this 136-nucleotide non-coding RNA. Lineage: Bacteria; Pseudomonadati; Bacteroidota; Bacteroidia; Bacteroidales; Porphyromonadaceae. The record is from Rfam.
AAAUAAAACAAAAAAAUAUAAAUUCAAUGCUGACAGUAAACAAAUUUUGGUGGUGGCACUUACAGAUUAGCUAAUCCGUGAGAUGUAACACCAUUGUAUUUUGUCAAUUAAAAAAGAUAUUACAAAAAGGCUUGUC